Molecule: transfer RNA, 87 nt
Filed under: bacterium
Lineage: Bacteria
Also listed under: 1 other name
Description: tRNA-Leu
Rfam family: tRNA
About the family: Transfer RNA (tRNA) molecules are approximately 80 nucleotides in length. Their secondary structure includes four short double-helical elements and three loops (D, anti-codon, and T loops). Further hydrogen bonds mediate the characteristic L-shaped molecular structure. tRNAs have two regions of fundamental functional importance: the anti-codon, which is responsible for specific mRNA codon recognition, and the 3' end, to which the tRNAs corresponding amino acid is attached (by aminoacyl-tRNA synthetases). tRNAs cope with the degeneracy of the genetic code in two manners: having more than one tRNA (with a specific anti-codon) for a particular amino acid; and 'wobble' base-pairing, i.e. permitting non-standard base-pairing at the 3rd anti-codon position.
Source: RNAcentral
GCCGAGGUGGCGGAAUUGGCAGACGCGCAUGGUUCAGGUCCAUGUUCCCUAACGGGAUUGGGGGUUCAACUCCCCCCUUCGGCACCA